Paramuricea clavata is the source of this 418-nucleotide non-coding RNA. The record is from the annotation of a GenBank genome assembly. Lineage: Eukaryota; Metazoa; Cnidaria; Anthozoa; Malacalcyonacea; Plexauridae.
CCGCAUUUUAACCCCAUCCGUUCCGCAUCCGCUUCCGCGUUUUAACCUAACCCUUAUUCUCGCCCUGGCUGCUCGUCCAAUUUUGGCAAAAUUUCCAAACAUCACUCGUACUAGUAAUCCCUAAUUGUACUCGUCAUCGCAUGAUUACCUAUACUAAUUAUCCUUUUAUUCUCUUUCUUUUACAGCGAAAUUAACUAUGCGAUAACUAAAACGAAGGAAAACUACGAGAACAUGUUGUAUAGAGAAGUCGUUAAGUCUGGUUUCUUCGAGUUUCAAGCAGCUCGAGAUCGUUAUCGGGAAAUGUCGACGGAAGGAAUGCAUCGCGAUCUUGUUUUUAGGUUUAUAGAAGUUCAAGUGUUGUUGUUAGCACCGAUAUGUCCACAUAUUUGUGAGCAUAUCUGGAAACUGAUAGGUCAUG